GACGAAGGGGGCUAGCGUUGCUCGGAAUCACUGGGCGUAAAGCGCACGUAGGCGGCUUUCUAAGUCAGGGGUGAAAUCCUGGAGCUCAACUCCAGAACUGCCUUUGAUACUGGAGAGCUUGAGUCCGGAAGAGGUGAGUGGAACUCCGAGUGUAGAGGUGAAAUUCGUAGAUAUUCGGAAGAACACCAGUGGCGAAGGCGGCUCACUGGUCCGGUACUGACGCUGAGGUGCGAAAGCGUGGGGAGCAAACAGG
RNAcentral lists this ribosomal RNA (253 nucleotides) under uncultured bacterium. Its description in RNAcentral is "partial 16S ribosomal RNA". It matches the Rfam family "Bacterial small subunit ribosomal RNA", at positions 524 to 776 of the family's 1533-position model. The record is from RNAcentral.